GAUGAACGCUGGCGGCGUGCCUAAUACAUGCAAGUCGAGCGAACGGACGAGAAGCUUGCUUCUCUGAUGUUAGCGGCGGACGGGUGAGUAACACGUGGAUAACCUACCUAUAAGACUGGGAUAACUUCGGGAAACCGGAGCUAAUACCGGAUAAUAUUUUGAACCGCAUGGUUCAAAAGUGAAAGACGGUCUUGCUGUCACUUAUAGAUGGAUCCGCGCUGCAUUAGCUAGUUGGUAAGGUAACGGCUUACCAAGGCAACGAUGCAUAGCCGACCUGAGAGGGUGAUCGGCCACACUGGAACUGAGACACGGUCCAGACUCCUACGGGAGGCAGCAGUAGGGAAUCUUCCGCAAUGGGCGAAAGCCUGACGGAGCAACGCCGCGUGAGUGAUGAAGGUCUUCGGAUCGUAAAACUCUGUUAUUAGGGAAGAACAUAUGUGUAAGUAACUGUGCACAUCUUGACGGUACCUAAUCAGAAAGCCACGGCUAACUACGUGCCAGCAGCCGCGGUAAUACGUAGGUGGCAAGCGUUAUCCGGAAUUAUUGGGCGUAAAGCGCGCGUAGGCGGUUUUUUAAGUCUGAUGUGAAAGCCCACGGCUCAACCGUGGAGGGUCAUUGGAAACUGGAAAACUUGAGUGCAGAAGAGGAAGGUGGAAUUCCAUGUGUAGCGGUGAAAUGCGCAGAGAUAUGGAGGAACACCAGUGGCGAAGGCGACUUUCUGGUCUGUAACUGACGCUGAUGUGCGAAAGCGUGGGGAUCAAACAGGAUUAGAUACCCUGGUAGUCCACGCCGUAAACGAUGAGUGCUAAGUGUUAGGGGGUUUCCGCCCCUUAGUGCUGCAGCUAACGCAUUAAGCACUCCGCCUGGGGAGUACGACCGCAAGGUUGAAACUCAAGGGAAUUGACGGGGACCCGCACAAGCGGUGGAGCAUGUGGUUUAAUUCGAAGCAACGCGAAGAACCUUACCAAAUCUUGACAUCCUUUGACAACUCUAGAGAUAGAGCCUUCCCCUUCGGGGGACAAAGUGACAGGUGGUGCAUGGUUGUCGUCAGCUCGUGUCGUGAGAUGUUGGGUUAAGUCCCGCAACGAGCGCAACCCUUAAGCUUAGUUGCCAUCAUUAAGUUGGGCACUCUAAGUUGACUGCCGGUGACAAACCGGAGGAAGGUGGGGAUGACGUCAAAUCAUCAUGCCCCUUAUGAUUUGGGCUACACACGUGCUACAAUGGACAAUACAAAGGGCAGCGAAACCGCGAGGUCAAGCAAAUCCCAUAAAGUUGUUCUCAGUUCGGAUUGUAGUCUGCAACUCGACUACAUGAAGCUGGAAUCGCUAGUAAUCGUAGAUCAGCAUGCUACGGUGAAUACGUUCCCGGGUCU
RNAcentral lists this ribosomal RNA (1372 nucleotides) under uncultured bacterium. Its description in RNAcentral is "bacterial SSU rRNA". It matches the Rfam family "Bacterial small subunit ribosomal RNA", at positions 28 to 1381 of the family's 1533-position model. The record is from RNAcentral.